ACGAACGCUGGCGGCGUGCUUAACACAUGCAAGUCGAACGGAAAGGCCCUGCUUGCAGGGUACUCGAGUGGCGAACGGGUGAGUAACACGUGGGUGAUCUGCCCUGCACUUCGGGAUAAGCCUGGGAAACUGGGUCUAAUACCGGAUAGGAGCCAUUUUUAGUGUGAUGGUUGGAAAGUUUUUUCGGUGUAGGAUGAGCUCGCGGCCUAUCAGCUUGUUGGUGGGGUAAUGGCCUACCAAGGCGGCGACGGGUAGCCGGCCUGAGAGGGUGGACGGCCACAUUGGGACUGAGAUACGGCCCAGACUCCUACGGGAGGCAGCAGUGGGGAAUAUUGCACAAUGGGCGCAAGCCUGAUGCAGCGACGCCGCGUGGGGGAUGACGGCCUUCGGGUUGGAAACUCCUUUCGCUAGGGACGAAGCUUUUUGUGACGGUACCUAGAUAAGAAGCACCGGCCAACUACGUG
This 464-nucleotide ribosomal RNA is filed under the name uncultured bacterium. RNAcentral's name for it is "partial 16S ribosomal RNA". It matches the Rfam family "Bacterial small subunit ribosomal RNA", at positions 29 to 507 of the family's 1533-position model. The record is from RNAcentral.